GACGAACGCUGGCGGCGUGCCUAAUACAUGCAAGUCGAGCGGAGUUAGAGAAGCUUGCUUCUCUAACUUAGCGGCGGACGGGUGAGUAACACGUGGGCAAUCUGCCCGUAAGACUGGGAUAACUCCGGGAAACCGGGGCUAAAUACCGGAUAAUCCUGACUCUCUCCUGAGAGUCAGUUGAAAGAUGGUUUCGGCUAUCACUUACGGAUGAGCCCGCGGCGCAUUAGCUAGUUGGUAGGGUGAUGGCCUACCAAGGCGACGAUGCGUAGCCGACCUGAGAGGGUGAUCGGCCACACUGGGACUGAGACACGGCCCAGACUCCUACGGGAGGCAGCAGUAGGGAAUCUUCCGCAAUGGACGAAAGUCUGACGGAGCAACGCCGCGUGAGUGAAGAAGGUUUUCGGAUCGUAAAACUCUGUUGUUAGGGAAGAACACGUACGAGAGUAACUGCUCGUACCUUGACGGUACCUAACCAGAAAGCCACGGCUAACUACGUG
RNAcentral lists this ribosomal RNA (497 nucleotides) under uncultured bacterium. RNAcentral's name for it is "bacterial SSU rRNA". It matches the Rfam family "Bacterial small subunit ribosomal RNA", at positions 28 to 507 of the family's 1533-position model. The record is from RNAcentral.